Molecule: ribosomal RNA, 618 nt
Filed under: fungal sp. ATT175
Lineage: Eukaryota; Fungi
Description: LSU rRNA
Rfam family: Eukaryotic large subunit ribosomal RNA
Source: RNAcentral
GCAUAUCAAUAAGCGGAGGAAAAGAAACCAACAGGGAUUGCCCUAGUAACGGCGAGUGAAGCGGCAACAGCUCAAAUUUGAAAUCUGGCCUCCCCGCGGGGGUCCGAGUUGUAAUUUGCAGAGGGUGCUUCGGCGCAGGCCUUGGUCUAAGUCCUUUGGAACCAGGCGUCACAGAGGGUGACAACCCCGUACGUGGCCGACGGCCGGCGCCGUGUGAAGCCCCUUCGACGAGUCGAGUUGUUUGGGAAUGCAGCUCUAAAUGGGAGGUAUAUUUCUUCUAAAGCUAAAUACCGGCCAGAGACCGAUAGCGCACAAGUAGAGUGAUCGAAAGAUGAAAAGCACUUUGGAAAGAGAGUCAAAAAGCACGUGAAAUUGUUGAAAGGGAAGCGCUUGCAGCCAGACGUGCCCGCCGUUGCUCAUCCAAACGCCCGGUUUGGUGCACUCUUCGGCGGGCAGGCCAGCAUCAGUUGGGGCGGCCAGAGAAAGGCCCGGGGAACGUGGCUCGCUCCGGCGAGUGUUAUAGCCCCGGGUGGCCUGUGGCCAGCCCCGACUGAGGUCCGCGCUUCGGCUAGGAUGCUGGCGUAAUGGCGGCAAGCGGCCCGUCUUGAAACACGGACC